ACUUUUCUCUCACACAUCUGCAGGUUGCCUCGUGUGCUCUCUCAUUUUAUUACUCAAUGUGAAAAGUAGCCCCAAAAGAGAAGAGGGAAACCUGCAUCUGCAAGGAACAUAAACUUCCAAUCUCCUAAGUGUUCAAAGGUCACUGGGGACACUCCAGCUGUGCCACUGAAAUACCCUCUGACUGCACAACUAACUUCAGCAGUGGUACCCUCUUGUCCUCCCCACAUGAGUUCAGUCUUGCUUUUAUCUAGACGUGGCCUGCUCAAGUGGACUGUCACAGUGUGCUGGUACUUACUCUUUACUGAGGCUACUGGUAAAAACCACCACAAAGUUGCUCUAGACAUCUCCAACAAAAGCAACAGGAUUUUUAGUAAAGAGGUGGCAAGAUGUGCAAAACAAAAAUGAACUGGGCACAAGGUGCAAGGAUACUCUCCACAUUGCCUCCUUCCAGAUCUGCCUGAAGCAGGGUCUAUUCCUGUACAAGUAACAUUUCAUGCUAUUACAGACUUCCAAUUUUCCCUGUGAUCAAGACGUCGAAAAUUCAGGGCUGAAACUAAUGGUCUGUGAGACCGAAAUAAAAAUGCUCUCCUUUCUACCACAUACUGAUCAACAUUCUCACUGAUCAUCUGGAAAUGCCUGGGUCAGCAAUCAAGCUCUCAGUGGGUUCAGAGCAACCAGCAGCUGGAUUGACAUUGCUUUCUAAACCAUGCAGAGGUUCCAUGGGCAAAUGGACUUUCUCAUUCUUCUCAUCUGAGUCACCUAAUACACCAGUUGUAGAGGAUUGUUUUGGAAAAAUGUGCUGGUUUUAUGUAGACAUAAUUUUCCUGGCUGACUCUAUUCAGUUAAUGAGAGUCACACAGAACAACUAGGCUGAAAGGGAACAUGAGAGGUCAACUGGGCCAGCUUGCUGCUCAAAGCAGGCUCAAUGCCAAAAUUAGACCAAGCUUUUGUCCAGUCAGGUCUUGAAAUCCUUCACGAAUUAACGAACCUUCAAAACCUUUCUGAGGAACCUGCUCCAAUGCCCAAUUACGUGGCAUUAGCCUCCAUGUCUUUGGGCAGAAGGAUACCAGAUGGGACAGAUGCUUUCAGUGAGACUCGAGU
Molecule: non-coding RNA, 1101 nt
Organism: Taeniopygia guttata (zebra finch)
Lineage: Eukaryota; Metazoa; Chordata; Aves; Passeriformes; Estrildidae
Source: RefSeq, a predicted model, not a curated record